This 497-nucleotide ribosomal RNA is filed under the name uncultured bacterium. RNAcentral's name for it is "partial 16S ribosomal RNA". It matches the Rfam family "Bacterial small subunit ribosomal RNA", at positions 28 to 507 of the family's 1533-position model. The record is from RNAcentral.
GAUGAACGCUGGCGGCGUGCCUAAUACAUGCAAGUCGAGCGAACAGACGAGGAGCUUGCUCCUCUGACGUUAGCGGCGGACGGGUGAGUAACACGUGGAUAACCUACCUAUAAGACUGGGAUAACUUCGGGAAACCGGAGCUAAUACCGGAUAAUAUAUUGAACCGCAUGGUUCAAUAGUGAAAGACGGUUUUGCUGUCACUUAUAGAUGGAUCCGCGCCGCAUUAGCUAGUUGGUAAGGUAACGGCUUACCAAGGCAACGAUGCGUAGCCGACCUGAGAGGGUGAUCGGCCACACUGGAACUUAGACACGGUCCAGACUCCUACGGGAGGCAGCAGUAGGGAAUCUUCCGCAAUGGGCGAAAGCCUGACGGAGCAACGCCGCGUGAGUGAUGAAGGUCUUCGGAUCGUAAAACUCUGUUAUUAGGGAAGAACAAAUGUGUAAGUAACUAUACACGUCUUGACGGUACCUAAUCAGAAAGCCACGGCUAACUACGUG